GCAUCAGGUAGGAUAAUCCUUACCUGUUCCUCCUCUUGGAGGGCAGAAUAAAUGUGAUUUGAUACUUUAGAGGUGGGAAAGCUCCCUCACAAUCUUAGAGAGAGGUAUUACCUUGUAUGUCGUGAAAAUUAUGAU
RNAcentral lists this small nucleolar RNA (135 nucleotides) under Capra hircus (goat). Its description in RNAcentral is "U8 small nucleolar RNA (ENSCHIG00010007934.1, ENSCHIG00020000395.1, ENSCHIG00040023235.1)". The stretch from base 1 to 98 matches the Rfam family "U8 small nucleolar RNA". Rfam says of the family: U8 is a member of the C/D class of snoRNA which contain the C (UGAUGA) and D (CUGA) box motifs. U8 is the RNA component of a small complex (the U8 snoRNP) which is required for accumulation of mature large subunit ribosomal RNAs, 5.8S and 28S rRNAs. U8 RNA has been identified in human, mouse, rat and Xenopus. Lineage: Eukaryota; Metazoa; Chordata; Mammalia; Artiodactyla; Bovidae. The record is from RNAcentral.